UGGGGAAUCUUGCGCAAUGCGCGAAAGCGUGACGCAGCAACGCCGCGUGAGGGAAGAAGGCUCUCGGGUUGUAAACCUCUUUCAGUUGGGACGAAGCUUCGUCGGUUAAUAGCCGGCCGGAGUGACGGUACCUUCAGAAGAAGCCCCGGCUAACUACGUGCCAGCAGCCGCGGUAAUACGUAGGGGGCAAGCGUUGUCCGGAAUCAUUGGGCGUAAAGCGCGUGUAGGCGGCUCGGUAAGUCCGCUCUGAAAGCCCGGGGCUCAACCCCGGGAGGCGGGUGGAUACUGCCGAGCUAGAGUCCGGAAGAGGCGAGUGGAAUUCCUGGUGUAGCGGUGAAAUGCGCAGAUAUCAGGAGGAACACCAAUUGCGAAGGCAGCUCGCUGGGACGGUACUGACGCUGAGACGCGAAAGCGUGGGGAGCAAACAG
Molecule: ribosomal RNA, 428 nt
Filed under: uncultured bacterium
Lineage: Bacteria
Description: bacterial SSU rRNA
Rfam family: Bacterial small subunit ribosomal RNA
Source: RNAcentral